AUUGAACGCUGGCGGCAGGCCUAACACAUGCAAGUCGAGCGGAUAAAGGGAGCUUGCUCCUGGAUUCAGCGGCGGACGGGUGAGUAAUGCCUAGGAAUCUGCCUGGUAGUGGGGGAUAACGUCCGGAAACGGGCGCUAAUACCGCAUACGUCCUGAGGGAGAAAGUGGGGGAUCUUCGGACCUCACGCUAUCAGAUGAGCCUAGGUCGGAUUAGCUAGUUGGUGGGGUAAAGGCCUACCAAGGCGACGAUCCGUAACUGGUCUGAGAGGAUGAUCAGUCACACUGGAACUGAGACACGGUCCAGACUCCUACGGGAGGCAGCAGUGGGGAAUAUUGGACAAUGGGCGAAAGCCUGAUCCAGCCAUGCCGCGUGUGUGAAGAAGGUCUUCGGAUUGUAAAGCACUUUAAGUUGGGAGGAAGGGCAGUAAGUUAAUACCUUGCUGUUUUGACGUUACCAAAAGAAUAAGCACCGGCUAACUUCGUG
RNAcentral lists this ribosomal RNA (484 nucleotides) under uncultured bacterium. RNAcentral describes it as "partial 16S ribosomal RNA". It matches the Rfam family "Bacterial small subunit ribosomal RNA", at positions 30 to 507 of the family's 1533-position model. The record is from RNAcentral.